Molecule: transfer RNA, 72 nt
Filed under: Camelus bactrianus (Bactrian camel)
Lineage: Eukaryota; Metazoa; Chordata; Mammalia; Artiodactyla; Camelidae
Also listed under: 2 other names
Rfam family: tRNA
About the family: Transfer RNA (tRNA) molecules are approximately 80 nucleotides in length. Their secondary structure includes four short double-helical elements and three loops (D, anti-codon, and T loops).
Source: Rfam by way of RNAcentral
GGAGUAAUAGCUCAGUGGUAGAGUGCAUGCCUUACGUGCAUGAGGUUCUGGGUUGAAUCCCCAGUACCUCCA